UUUUAUCUGUAACUUGACUGACCUUGGUUUUCCUUAUUUUUGCUCUUCACAUUCAGAUUUCGGAAAUGUGCAUGGAAGGCUCCUUCUGCUUCUUCUUCAUCCUCAGGAAAGAAUUUCUUCUCAUGUGCCUCAAGAGAUCCAACCAGCUCAGCAUAGAGCCCUCAUCUGAUUUGCUACAGCCUGAAUCCUAUCAGAGAGUGCUCUAGCAGCUUCCAUGCUUGAUGUGCUGAGGUUGCUGAGAGAAUCUUGUCAAACACCACAUCUGCCACUCCAUGUUGAAGAAUUUGAAGAGCAGCAGUAUCCUUAGCUUUGAGUGCCUUCAAGUUUGCAGCUUCUUUGGUCUUGUCUGCUCCUGGAGUCUAUGGUGACUGAGAUCCCGGAUCUGGAACUCCAUCUUUUACUACCUCCCACAGAUCUUUGUUCAUCAGGGUUGUUUUCAUUCUUGCUGCCCAGAACUCAUAGUUCUGUCCAUCAAAAACAGCAACAAGUUGUGAAGAUUGCAAGGCUCCAAGAUCAAGUGUGCUCUGAUACCAUGUUGCAAUUCUCAAAUUUUACUCAGAUUUCGGAAAUGUGCAUGGAAGGCUCCUUCUGCUUCUUCUUCAUCCUCAGGAAAGAAUUUCUUCUCAUGUGCCUCAAGAGAUCCAACCAGCUCAGCAUAGUUUGAUUUUCCUUCACCUAGAGCCCUCAUCUGAUUUGCUACAGCCUGAAUCCUAUCAGAGAGUGCUCUAGCAGCUUCCAUGCUUGAUGUGCUGAGGUUGCUGAGAGAAUCUUGUCAAACACCACAUCUGCCACUCCAUGUUGAAGAAUUUGAAGAGCAGCAGUAUCCUUAGCUUUGAGUGCCUUCAAGUUUGCAGCUUCUUUGGUCUUGUCUGCUCCUGGAGUCUCUGGUGACUGAGAUCCCGGAUCUGGAACUCCAUCUUUUACUACCUCCCACAGAUCUUUGUUCAUCAGGGUUGUUUUCAUUCUUGCUGCCCAGAACUCAUAGUUCUGUCCAUCAAAAACAGCAACAAGUUGUGAAGAUUGCAAGGCUCCAAGAUCAAGUGUGCUCUGAUACCAUGUUGCAAUUCUCAAAUUUUACUCAGAUUUCGGAAAUGUGCAUGGAAGGCUCCUUCUGCUUCUUCUUCAUCCUCAGGAAAGAAUUUCUUCUCAUGUGCCUCAAGAGAUCCAACCAGCUCAGCAUAGAGCCCUCAUCUGAUUUGCUACAGCCUGAAUCCUAUCAGAGAGUGCUCUAGCAGCUUCCAUGCUUGAUGUGCUGAGGUUGCUGAGAGAAUCUUGUCAAACACCACAUCUGCCACUCCAUGUUGAAGAAUUUGAAGAGCAGCAGUAUCCUUAGCUUUGAGUGCCUUCAAGUUUGCAGCUUCUUUGGUCUUGUCUGCUCCUGGAGUCUAUGGUGACUGAGAUCCCGGAUCUGGAACUCUAUCUUUUACUACCUCCCACAGAUCUUUGUUCAUCAGGGUUGUUUUCAUUCUUGCUGCCCAGAACUCAUAGUUCUGUCCAUCAAAAACAGCAACAAGUUGUGAAGAUUGCAAGGCUCCAAGAUCAAGUGUACUCUGAUACCAUGUUGCAAUUCUCAAAUUUUACUCAGGUUUUCUUAAACUCUCUCUUUCUUUUUUAAGAUUUUUCAUUCAUACUUCCAUUUAUUACAAGGACACACACAUACACAUACUUAUACAAGUUUUCUUUCACUAGCUAGUAGCUACUCACUUACCCUUACUCUCUCAUCUUACUUCUACAAUCUAGAUUCACUUACACAAGCAAUCCACUCCAUCAUUAGACUCCAACCACUC
RNA transcript from Arabidopsis lyrata subsp. lyrata, 1787 nucleotides. It is a transcript of the gene named putative F-box/LRR-repeat protein 9, with no coding region annotated. NCBI's taxonomy places the organism in Eukaryota, Viridiplantae, Streptophyta, Magnoliopsida, Brassicales, Brassicaceae. The record is from RefSeq and is a predicted model, not a curated record. The transcript has 12 exons.